CUGCAGCCCGAGUGGUGAUCGAUUUUAUUGAGCCUAAAGCGUCCGUAGCCGGACUAGUAAACCCUUGGGUAAAUUGGGCAGCUUAACUGUCCAAAUUCCGAGGGGACUGCUAGUCUUGGGACCGGGAGAGGUCAGAGGUACUCCAGGGGUAGGGGCUAAAUCCUGUAAUCCUUGGGGGACCACCAGUGGCGAAGGCGUCUGACUAGAACGGAUCCGACGGUAAGGGACGAAACCCUGGGGCGCGAACCGGAUUAGAGACCCGUGUAGUCC
This 270-nucleotide ribosomal RNA is filed under the name uncultured archaeon. Its description in RNAcentral is "partial 16S ribosomal RNA". It matches the Rfam family "Archaeal small subunit ribosomal RNA", at positions 477 to 747 of the family's 1478-position model. The record is from RNAcentral.